CAAUCAAAUCGUUUUUUUAAAAAACGGAUCUGAGUUUUCCAAGGUUUUAUUAUUUUGGUAACUUUAAAUUUAUCUUAACGAUAUCUUUGGUAUGAUAUUGGAAAUGGUUAUAUUCUUACAUCUUCUUGUGAGUUUCAUUAACAAUUGAUUACCUGUCGUUACGUCGUAUUAUUUGCCUGAUCCUUUUAAUUGGGUUACAUAAUACAAUUUUUCUU
Molecule: unclassified non-coding RNA, 215 nt
Filed under: Acaulospora cavernata
Lineage: Eukaryota; Fungi; Glomeromycota; Glomeromycetes; Diversisporales; Acaulosporaceae
Description: partial internal transcribed spacer 2
Source: RNAcentral